GGUAGCACCAUGGUGUAGCCAGAGGACAGCUAGCUUCCGUCCUCCUCUGGCUACAUUGACCUCAAUACAAAAUUUAGGAGGCUCGUAGGCCUCACCCUCUUUUAUAGACACAUGGUAAUUAUGACCACUUCCAAAGGACUUCAUCCAACCAAUCAAAGCUUUUGCAGUAUUAACUGACAUGUUGUCCAUCCAAUCAUAGAAUUAGGAUCAGAAAAUUAACCUAGUGUGUUGUACUGGGAUUGUGCCACAGAGCAUUAUGGGGUUUCUGUGUUGAGAAACUUGCUGACAUAGUUGAAUUCUUUUUUGAUAUUAUUCAAUUCAAAUGAAUUUUUUUCAAAUUACAGGAGACAGAAGAAGUCUAUUAUAAAUUGUUUUCUUGGUUUUAAAACAUUAUUUUUGUGUUCAUUUGGUGCAAUUUAUAACAAAUUGUUUACAGUUAGCAAGGCUAACUUCAGUAGCUAGCUAGCUACCAGCGCGAAUGUGCAGUUUUCUCCGCCAGAAUGGUCAACUCUGACGAAAAUGUUGUGGACUUUUUGUUGAAGAACCCCUUUCAUUCUCUGGGGUACACAGAAAAAGUGCGAAUUAAAAGCGAGGGUCGACCUCUGCCUGAGAUCAGUUUCAUGACGAAGGAUGAAAGGCUAAGUCCCCUCCUGUUCCCUGAUUAAGAGGUGAUGACCACUCCACUACCAAUGUCCUCUCUCUCAUGAGUUGAACCGAAGCCAUAUCUCAUGUGCCCGCUCAUCGCACAUUAAAUGUUUCUUCUCCAAGCACUUCAAAUCCUGUCCUGCAAUGGUCAAGCCUCUGAACACCUCAACUCAUGCCUCACACCCUAAUUCAAUCACUGCUGUGAUCUCUUUCCAACACUGUCGCCUAUACCAUGGGUCUCCCAUCCUGCUCAAUUCUUCAAGUCACCAGCCUCCACUGCCCUCCACCUACCCAAGGACGUUUGAAUACAGACAUACCUUAACCACCUAAAUGAGGAUCUAAAUGUAACCUUGCGUAAUACCCUAGAUGCAGUUGCACCCCUAAAAACAAAAAACAUUUGUUUUAGCUCCCUGUUUUAGCUCCCUGGUAUAUAGAAAAUACCAGAGCCCCGAAGCAAGCUUCCAGAAAAUUGGAAUGAAAAUGGCGCUCCACCAAACUGGAAGUCUUCCGACUAGCUUGGAAAGACAGUACCGUGCAAUAUCGAAGAACCCUCACUGCUGCUCAAUUAUCCUAUUUUCUUCCCAAAACUAAUUGAGGAAAAUAAGAACAAUCCCCUCCCAAAAAUGUUAUAUUGUCGCAAAGCUAACUUAAAAGCAGCAUUCCCCAAGAGAGGAUGGCUUUCACUUCAGCAGUGAGGAAUUCAUGAACUUCUUUGAUGUAAAGGUCAUGAUCAUUAGAAAGAAAAUUAGACUGCUCUUUCAAUCUGCACAUUUCUCCAAAGCUCAGUUGUCCUGAGUCUGUACAGAACUGCCAGGAAGUUGGAUCAAUGGAGACACUCAAGUUUUUUAAUCCUGUAUCUCUUGACACAUUCAUGAAAAUAGUCAUGGCCUCUAAACCUUCACGCUGCAUACUGGACCCUAUUCAAACUAAACUACUGAAAGAGCUACUUCCUGUGCUUGUUCCUCCUAUGUUGAACGUAGUAAAUGUGGAAGUAAUAAAGCCUCACUUGAAAAAGCCAAACCUUGACCUAGAAAUGUUAUUUAAACUAUCGGCCUGUAUCGAAUAUCCCAUUUAUCUCAAACAUUUUAGAAAAAGCUGUUGCCUGAAGAUCCCAUAAUAGCACUGAGACUGCACUCGUGAAGGUGGCAAAUGACCUUUUAAUUGCGUCAGACCAAGGCUCUGCAUCUGUCCUCGUGCUCCUAGAUCUUACUGUCGCUUUUGACACCAUCAAUCACCAUCUUCUUUUGGAGAGAUUAGAAACCCUAAUUGGUCUACACGGACAAGUUCUGCCUGGUUGAGAUCUUAUCUGUCGAAAGAUAUCAGAUUGUCUCUGUGGAUGGUUUGUCCUCUGACAAAUCAAUUGUACGUUUUGGUGUUCCUCAAGGUUCCAUUUUAGAACGACUAUUGUUUUCACUCAAUAUUCUGUCAUUUGGGAAACACAAUGUUUUCUAUUGUAUUCUACAAUUAUUCUACUAUUAUUCUACAAUGUAGAAAAUAGUAAAAAAAUAAAUAAAGAAAAACCCUGAAAUUAGUUGGUGCGUCCAAACUUUUUUGUUUGUGUCAGAAUCCUUGCGGAACUGUUUUGGAUGAGCUGUGGUUUAGGAAUUGAAUUUGCAGGCAGGUCCCUCAUGUAAUGCUUUCCCAUAUUCAACUCUGGAGAAGAUUAAUGCAUGGAUUAGCUCAGGUGAAAGAAUGUUUUACAGACCGGACUAAUGUGGCAAUUGAAGGAGAGAGGUGGCAGGGUAGCCUAGUGGUUAGAGUGUUGGACUAGUAAUUGGAAG
Molecule: long non-coding RNA, 2426 nt
Organism: Oncorhynchus tshawytscha (Chinook salmon)
Lineage: Eukaryota; Metazoa; Chordata; Actinopteri; Salmoniformes; Salmonidae
Exons: 4
Source: RefSeq, a predicted model, not a curated record